AUAUAAUGACAGGUAACUUUCCACGAAGUAAGUUCAAGCUUCUUUGUUGUUCAGGGUCAGGUGGCCUUGAAGUUAUUGAAAUUUGCUCUUUAUUUUUGAAAUGCUAAUGCUAUGCAUAACAUUUGAAAUGAAGUUGACGGAUUUCAUAGUGGGCAAAGGAAUCAUUCUUCCCUGAGCAAACUUAAAACUGAUAUGAAUCCUUCAACUUUUGUGCAGGGCAUCUUACUCCUAGAAGCG
Molecule: unclassified non-coding RNA, 237 nt
Filed under: Hevea brasiliensis (rubber tree)
Lineage: Eukaryota; Viridiplantae; Streptophyta; Magnoliopsida; Malpighiales; Euphorbiaceae
Source: RNAcentral